Molecule: long non-coding RNA, 1128 nt
Organism: Nerophis ophidion (straightnose pipefish)
Lineage: Eukaryota; Metazoa; Chordata; Actinopteri; Syngnathiformes; Syngnathidae
Exons: 2
Source: RefSeq, a predicted model, not a curated record
GUCCAAUAAUAUCGGCCGAUAAAUGCUUUAAAAUGUAAUAUCGGAAACUACUGGUAUCGGUUUCAAAAAGUUAAAUUAAUGACUUUUUAAAACGCCGCUGUAUAGAGCGGUCCACAUCCGGUAAAACAUGAAUGUAGGGAGAAGUACAGAGCAGUUGCGUCUCCUAGUCAGCAGCCCCUCCCUUCUCCUCUCUCUCUUCUCCCCUCUCCCUACACAACACAGGAGUUGACGACUGCAGCAUGAGAGGUUUACUGGCGACGCUUGAUGACGUCAUAAAACCGCCGCGAGCGGAGCAUAACAACAACAAGAGUGUGUUGUUGCCGGUGCUGUUUUGCCGUGGCUAACAAGCGAGCUCGGUGACUGACUAACGACAAUGUCUAUGGUUUGGGAUUAUUUUAAAGUGUGUCUGAUGGAUGAAAAAAAGAAUCAUAAGAAGAUACACGAUGAAUACAAGCGGAAGAUGGAUGAAAAGCAAACAGCGAAAAAAAGUAGUACCACACAGUUGUCUCUUAAAGACUCCGCCGAGAAAAAACAAAAGUACAACAAAAACCACCCCACAGCGAAAGCCCGCGCAAUAUGGCAAAAGCUACGGUGGGGUUUGGUGUGGCUAGUCUGCCCUGCAUGGCGCACACUUUGCAACUUGCAGUGAGCAGAGCUGCCCUGUCUCAACGCAGCAUUUCAGAAGCUCUGACUGACUGAUCAGCCAUUUCAAGCACUCACCACUAGCUUGCAGCACAUUUUUGUUACUCAUACAAAUACGUUAGAGCAGGGCAGAUUGAGCCCAGUUUAUAAUUUCCUGUUUUACAGUAUACCAGGCAGUCUUGCCCUAAAGGAGGACUAUGUUAUUGUGUACUUUAUUACUCUAGUAUACUCUGGGCUGAAGCUGUGUGCCUUCAUUUUUUGUGUAGCUGUUGUUUUGAGGCAUGUUUAAAAAAUAUAAAUAAACAAUGCACUUUGUGAAAGUCAAAGUAUAGUAUUUCCCAUAGUUGUAGUGGGUAUCAGGAUUAUCUCAGGGAGAGCAUGUCCCAAAUUCCAAGCUGCUGUUUUGAGGCAUGUUAAAAAAAAAUAAUGUACUUUGUGACUUCAAUAAUAAAUAUGACAGUGCCAUGUUGGCCUUUUUUUCCACAA